RNAcentral lists this ribosomal RNA (1370 nucleotides) under Paraisaria gracilis. RNAcentral's name for it is "partial 18S ribosomal RNA". It matches the Rfam family "Eukaryotic small subunit ribosomal RNA", at positions 81 to 1106 of the family's 1831-position model. Lineage: Eukaryota; Fungi; Ascomycota; Sordariomycetes; Hypocreales; Ophiocordycipitaceae. The record is from RNAcentral.
GCGAAACUGCGAAUGGCUCAUUAUAUAAGUUAUCGUUUAUUUGAUAGCACCUUACUACUUGGAUAACCGUGGUAAUUCUAGAGCUAAUACAUGCUGCGAUCCCCGACUUCGGAAGGGGUGUAUUUAUUAGAUUAAAAACCAAUGCCCCCUGGGCUCUCUGGUGAUUCAUGAUAACUUGGCGAAUCGCACGGCCUUGCGCCGGCGAUGGUUCAUUCAAAUUUCUUCCCUAUCAACUUUCGAUGUUUGGGUAGUGGCCAAACAUGGUUGCAACGGGUAACGGAGGGUUAGGGCUCGACCCCGGAGAAGGAGCCUGAGAAACGGCUACUACAUCCAAGGAAGGCAGCAGGCGCGCAAAUUACCCAAUCCCGACACGGGGAGGUAGUGACAAUAAAUACUGAUACAGGGCUCUUUCGGGUCUUGUAAUUGGAAUGAGUACAAUUUAAAUCCCUUAACGAGGAACAAUUGGAGGGCAAGUCUGGUGAGCACGCUGGCGCCAGAGAGAGCCUCGCCCCCCGUGGUGGGGGGCCAGAGGCUAGUCGAGCGCUCGUUACUGUGACGGGUGAGCGCCGGCGAGACAACCUGGAUCGGGGAAGGCUAAGGGCCCUGGAGGCCUACGCUGAUCCCGAGCAGAGCCGCCCGGGCGGCCUGUGUAGAGCGCGCAAAGGUGUCGGUCCCUGGGCCUGCGGGCCCCGGGGCUUAAGGUACGUGCCAACCCCCCGCGAAAGCGGGGCCCUGCGGACGAGCACCCGUCGUGCGAAGCCGCGGGGGGGGGGGACAGAUCCGCUGACGGGCCGCGAGCGAGCCCGUCCGCGGGGCACGUCCGCCCACGCAAGCAGGCCAGCAGCCGCGGUAAUUCCAGCUCCAAUAGCGUAUAUUAAAGUUGUUGUGGUUAAAAAGCUCGUAGUUGAACCUUGGGCCUGGCUGGCCGGUCCGCCUCACCGCGUGCACUGGUCCGGCCGGGCCUUUCCCUCUGUGGAACCCCAUGCCCUUCGCUGGGCGUGGCGGGGAGACAGGACUUUUACUUUGAAAAAAUUAGAGUGCUCCAGGCAGGCCUAUGCUCGAAUACAUUAGCAUGGAAUAAUGAAAUAGGACGCGCGGUUCUAUUUUGUUGGUUUCUAGGACCGCCGUAAUGAUUAAUAGGGACAGUCGGGGGCAUCAGUAUUCAAUUGUCAGAGGUGAAAUUCUUGGAUUUAUUGAAGACUCACUACUGCGAAAGCAUUUGCCAAGGAUGUUUUCAUUAAUCAGGAACGAAAGUUAGGGGAUCGAAGACGAUCAGAUACCGUCGUAGUCUUAACCAUAAACUAUGCCGACUAGGGAUUGGACGAUGUUGAUUUUUGACUCGUUCAGCACCUUACGAGAAAUCAAAGUGC